GACGAACGCUGGCGGCGUGCUUAACACAUGCAAGUCGAACGGAAAGGCCCUGCUUUUGUGGGGUGCUCGAGUGGCGAACGGGUGAGUAACACGUGAGUAACCUGCCCUUGACUUUGGGAUAACUUCAGGAAACUGGGGCUAAUACCGGAUAGGAGCUCCUGCUGCAUGGUGGGGGUUGGAAAGUUUCGGCGGUUGGGGAUGGACUCGCGGCUUAUCAGCUUGUUGGUGGGGUAGUGGCUUACCAAGGCUUUGACGGGUAGCCGGCCUGAGAGGGUGACCGGCCACAUGGGACAUGGAAGCCGGCCCAGACUCCUAGGGGGGGCCGCAGUGGGGAAUGUGGAAAAAUGGGCGGAGCCCGGAUGCAGCCCCGCCGCGUGCGGGAUGCCGGCUUUCGGGUUGAAACCCAUUUUCCCCUUGCACACGGAGUGGGUGAGGGUAGUGUGUAAAGAAGCCCGGGCAAACUCGGUG
This 468-nucleotide ribosomal RNA is filed under the name uncultured bacterium. RNAcentral describes it as "partial 16S ribosomal RNA". It matches the Rfam family "Bacterial small subunit ribosomal RNA", at positions 28 to 507 of the family's 1533-position model. The record is from RNAcentral.